Molecule: ribosomal RNA, 274 nt
Filed under: uncultured bacterium
Lineage: Bacteria
Description: partial 16S ribosomal RNA
Rfam family: Bacterial small subunit ribosomal RNA
Source: RNAcentral
AUACGGAGGGGGCGAGCGUUAUUCGGAAUCAUUGGGCGUAAAGGGCGCGUAGGCGGCCUGACAAGUCAGGGGUGAAAUCCCUCGGCUCAACCGAGGAACUGCCUCUGAAACUGUCAGGCUUGAGGCCGGGAGAGGGUAGUGGAAUUCCCAGUGUAGCGGUGAAAUGCGUAGAUAUUGGGAGGAACACCAGUGGCGAAGGCGGCUACCCGGACCGGUUCUGACGCUGAGGCGCGAAAGUGUGGGGAGCAAACAGGAUUAGAAACCCUAGUAGUCC